RNAcentral lists this ribosomal RNA (498 nucleotides) under uncultured bacterium. RNAcentral's name for it is "partial 16S ribosomal RNA". It matches the Rfam family "Bacterial small subunit ribosomal RNA", at positions 29 to 523 of the family's 1533-position model. The record is from RNAcentral.
AUUGAACGCUGGCGGAAUGCUUUACACAUGCAAGUCGAGCGGCAGCGCGGGGCAACCUGGCGGCGAGCGGCGAACGGGUGAGUAAUACAUCGGAACGUACCCUGUUGUGGGGGAUAACGAAUCGAAAGAUUCGCUAAUACCGCAUACGACCUGAGGGUGAAAGUGGGGGAUCGCAAGACCUCACGCGAUAGGAGCGGCCGAUGUCGGAUUAGCUAGGUGGUGGGGUAAAGGCUCACCAAGGCGACGAUCCGUAGCGGGUCUGAGAGGACGGCCCGCCACACUGGAACUGAGACACGGUCCAGACUCCUACGGGAGGCAGCAGUGGGGAAUUUUGGACAAUGGGGGCAACCCUGAUUCAGCCAUUCCGCGUGAGCGAAGAAGGCCUUCGGGUUGUAAAGCUCUUUCGGCAGGAACGAAACGGUCCUAGUUAAUACCUGGGGCUAAUGACGGUACCUGAAGAAGAAGCACCGGCUAACUACGUGCCAGCAGCCGCGGUAA